This 382-nucleotide ribosomal RNA is filed under the name uncultured eukaryote. Its description in RNAcentral is "partial 18S ribosomal RNA". It matches the Rfam family "Eukaryotic small subunit ribosomal RNA", at positions 592 to 975 of the family's 1831-position model. The record is from RNAcentral.
CAAUAGCGUAUAUUAAAGUUGUUGCAGUUAAAAAGCUCGUAGUUGGAUUUCUGGUAGGAGUGACCGUUCCGAACUUGAUUGUUCGUGUAUUGUGUUUUCUCCAGCCAUCCUUGUGGAGAACUUUUCUUGCAUUAAUUUGUAGGGAUUGGGACCCGCAUCGUUUACUGUGAAAAAAUUAGAGUGUUUAAAGCAGGCAAUCGCUUGAAUACAUUAGCAUGGAAUAAUAAGAUAGGACUUUGGUACUAUUUUGUUGGUUUGCAUACCAAAUUAAUGAUCAACAGGAACAGUUUGAGGAUAUUCGUAUGAACAUGUCAGAGGUGAAAUUCUUGGAUUUUGAUCAGACGAACUACUGCGAAAGCAUUUAUCAAGGAUGUUUNCAUUA